GGUUUUUGGAAAAAAGGGAAUUUUAGGACCAUUUUUGGAAUUUUAGGAUCAUUUUUGGUAAAAGGGAAUUUUAGGAGCAUUUUGGGAAAAAAGGGAAUUUUAGCAUCAUUUUUAGAAAAUUUUAGGGUCAUUUUUAGAAAAAAAGGGAAUUUUGGGAUCAUUUUUGGUAAAAUGAAAUUUUAGGAUAAUUUUUGGAAUUUUAGCAUCAUUUUUGGAAAAGGGAAAAAAACCCCAAAAGUCACAAAUUUACAAUCCAAAAGUCCAUUUUUUUGAUGAAAAAAAUCCUAAAAAUUCACAAAUUCACUGUCCAAAACUCCAUUCCCUCAUGGAAAAAAAAAAUAAAAAUAAAAAUAAGGCAGGGAAAAUAAAAAAAAUCCAAAAAAAUAAAAUAAAAAAAUAAAAUAAAAUAAAAUCCUCAAACAUCCCUGAAUUCCAAAUUUUCCUGAUGGAGAUGAAAAUCUCAAUAAAAUCUCCUGCAGGAUGGGGAGAUUUAUUAUAUUUAUAUUGAUUUUUGGGAUAUUUAUAUGGAUUUUGCAUUUUUUUAUUUUUCCUGCCUUAUUUCUUUUAUUUUUCCUGCAUUAUUUUUAUUUUUCCUGCCUCAAAUUUUUUAUUUUUCCUGCUUUAUUUUUUUAUUUUUCCUGCCUCAUAUUUUUAUUUAUAUUUUUCCUGCCUCAUUUUUAUUUAUUUUUCCUGCCUUAUUUUUAUUUUUCCUGA
Molecule: long non-coding RNA, 714 nt
Filed under: Zonotrichia albicollis (white-throated sparrow)
Lineage: Eukaryota; Metazoa; Chordata; Aves; Passeriformes; Passerellidae
Description: lncRNA (ENSZALG00000004305.1)
Source: RNAcentral